This 486-nucleotide ribosomal RNA is filed under the name uncultured bacterium. RNAcentral describes it as "partial 16S ribosomal RNA". It matches the Rfam family "Bacterial small subunit ribosomal RNA", at positions 30 to 507 of the family's 1533-position model. The record is from RNAcentral.
AUUGAACGCUGGCGGCAUGCCUUACACAUGCAAGUCGAACGGCAGCACGGGUGCUUGCACCUGGUGGCGAGUGGCGAACGGGUGAGUAAUACAUCGGAACAUGUCCUGUAGUGGGGGAUAGCCCGGCGAAGGCCGGAUUAAUACCGCAUACGAUCUACGGAUGAAAGCGGGGGACCUUCGGGCCUCGCGCUAUAGGGUUGGCCGAUGGCUGAUUAGCUAGUUGGUGGGGUAAAGGCCUACCAAGGCGACGAUCAGUAGCUGGUCUGAGAGGACGACCAGCCACACUGGAACUGAGACACGGCCCAGACUCCUACGGGAGGCAGCAGUGGGGAAUUUUGGACAAUGGGCGAAAGCCUGAUCCAGCAAUGCCGCGUGUGUGAAGAAGGCCUUCGGGUUGUAAAGCACUUUUGUCCGGAAAGAAAUCCUUGGCCCUAAUACGGUCGGGGGAUGACGGUACCGGAAGAAUAAGCACCGGCUAACUACGUG